RNAcentral lists this ribosomal RNA (412 nucleotides) under uncultured microorganism. Its description in RNAcentral is "bacterial SSU rRNA". It matches the Rfam family "Bacterial small subunit ribosomal RNA", at positions 9 to 417 of the family's 1533-position model. The record is from RNAcentral.
GAGUUUGAUCGUGGCUCAGAUUGAACGCUGGCGGCAUGCCUUACACAUGCAAGUCGAACGGCAGCAUGAUCUAGCUUGCUAGAUUGAUGGCGAGUGGCGAACGGGUGAGUAAUACAUCGGAACGUGCCCUGUAGUGGGGGAUAACUAGUCGAAAGAUUAGCUAAUACCGCAUACGACCUGAGGGUGAAAGUGGGGGACCGCAAGGCCUCAUGCUAUGGGAGCGGCCGAUGUCUGAUAGCCAGUUGGUGGGGUAAAGGGCCCACCAAGGCGACGAUCAGUAGCUGGUCUGAGAGGACGAUCAGCCACACUGGGACUGAGACACGGCCCAGACUCCUACGGGAGGCAGCAGUGGGGAAUUUUGGACAAUGGGCGAAAGCCUGAUCCAGCAAUGCCGCGUGUGUGAAGAAGGCCU